This 497-nucleotide ribosomal RNA is filed under the name uncultured bacterium. Its description in RNAcentral is "partial 16S ribosomal RNA". It matches the Rfam family "Bacterial small subunit ribosomal RNA", at positions 28 to 507 of the family's 1533-position model. The record is from RNAcentral.
GAUGAACGCUGGCGGCGUGCCUAAUACAUGCAAGUCGAGCGAACAGACGAGGAGCUUGCUCCUUCGACGUUAGCGGCGGACGGGUGAGUAACACGUAGGUAACCUACCUAUAAGACUGGGAUAACUUCGGGAAACCGGAGCUAAUACCGGAUAAUAUUUCGAACCGCAUGGUUCGAUAGUGAAAGAUGGCUUUGCUAUCACUUAUAGAUGGACCUGCGCCGUAUUAGCUAGUUGGUAAGGUAACGGCUUACCAAGGCAACGAUACGUAGCCGACCUGAGAGGGUGAUCGGCCAAACUGGAAGUGAGAUAUGGUCCAGACUCCUACGGGAGGCAGCAGUAGGGAAUCUUCCGCAAUGGGCGAAAGCAUGACGGAGCAACGCAGCGUGAGUGAUGAAGGUCUUCGGAUGGUAAAACUCUGUUAUUAGGGAAGAACAAACGUGUAAGUAACUGUGCACGUCUUGGCGGUACCUAAGCAGAAAGCCACGGCUAACUACGUG